Molecule: ribosomal RNA, 253 nt
Filed under: uncultured bacterium
Lineage: Bacteria
Description: partial 16S ribosomal RNA
Rfam family: Bacterial small subunit ribosomal RNA
Source: RNAcentral
UACGUAGGGUGCAGGCGUUAAUCGGAAUUACUGGGCGUAAAGCGUGCGCAGGCGGUCUGCUAAGACAGGUGUGAAAGCCCCGGGCUCAACCUGGGAAUUGCAUUCGAGACUGAAUAGCUAGGGUACGGUAGAGGGAAGCGGAAUUUCCGGUGUAGCGGUGAAAUGCGUAGAUAUCGGAAGGAACAUCAGUGGCGAAAGCGGCUUCCUGGACCAGUACCGACGUUCAGGCACGAAAGCGUGGGGAGCAAACAGG